GAAGGACAAUGUGCAUAUCUACAAAAGCAAAUCUACAGAAACAAAAUCUAAAUUGUACAAAGGGUUUGAAACAGAGUCAAGGCAGCUGCACCUGAUCAUCCUAAUCAUCUUCAGCAAAAUACUUAUCUUCUGCAUCAUGGCUGGCUUCCCUAAGCCAGUGAUCAUCCAAGGUCUCAUCAUCAUCUAUUUUUGAGUAAUCCAAGUGUUGAUGAUCUUCCCCAGAAAGAAAUUUUUGGUGCAUGAUGUAGGUAAAUUGAUUCAUCAUGUCUUCCUUCUCUUCUUGGGAUAUAAUUGCCCCCUCAUUGUGCUGCUCUCUGCUCAGCUGCGCACCAUUCGUAUUGAUCAUCUCAGUGGAGUGCACACCACCAUGAGCCUUCUUCACUUCUUCAUUCUCUUCUUCCUCUUCCUCUUCCUCUUCCUC
Molecule: unclassified non-coding RNA, 421 nt
Filed under: Hevea brasiliensis (rubber tree)
Lineage: Eukaryota; Viridiplantae; Streptophyta; Magnoliopsida; Malpighiales; Euphorbiaceae
Source: RNAcentral